This 505-nucleotide ribosomal RNA is filed under the name uncultured bacterium. Its description in RNAcentral is "bacterial SSU rRNA". It matches the Rfam family "Bacterial small subunit ribosomal RNA", at positions 1 to 492 of the family's 1533-position model. The record is from RNAcentral.
UAGAGUUUGAUCCUGGCUCCGAAUCAACGCUGGCGGCGUGCCUAACACAUGCAAGUCGAACGCGAAAGGGGACGCAAUCCCUGAGUAGAGUGGCAAACGGGUGAGUAACACGUGGGUGACCUGCCUUCGAGUGGGGGAUAACGUCCCGAAAGGGACGCUAAUACCGCAUGACAUCCUGCUUUUGGAAAAGCGGAGAUCAAAGCUGGGGAUCGCAAGACCUGGCGCUUGAAGAGGGGCCCGCGCCUGAUUAGCUCGUUGGUGGGGUAACGGCCUACCAAGGCUACGAUCAGUAUCCGGCCUGAGAGGGCGGACGGACACACUGGGACUGAGACACGGCCCAGACUCCUACGGGAGGCAGCAGUGGGGAAUUGUUCGCAAUGGGCGCAAGCCUGACGACGCAACGCCGCGUGGAGGACGAAGAUCUUCGGGUCGUAAACUCCUGUCGAGCGGGAAGAACACUGCCGGGUGAAUAACUGGCGGGCUGACGGUACCGCUAAAGGAAGCC